RNAcentral lists this ribosomal RNA (404 nucleotides) under uncultured bacterium. RNAcentral's name for it is "bacterial SSU rRNA". It matches the Rfam family "Bacterial small subunit ribosomal RNA", at positions 8 to 412 of the family's 1533-position model. The record is from RNAcentral.
AGAGUUUGAUCCUGGCUCAGAUUGAACGCUGGCGGAAUGCUUUACACAUGCAAGUCGAACGGCAGCACGGGUGCUUGCACCUGGUGGCGAGUGGCGAACGGGUGAGUAAUGCAUCGGAACGUACCGAGUAAUGGGGGAUAACGCAUCGAAAGGUGUGCUAAUACCGCAUACGCCCUGAGGGGGAAAGUGGGGGAUCGCAAGACCUCACGUUAUUCGAGCGGCCGAUGCCUGAUUAGCUAGUUGGUGAGGUAAAGGCUCACCAAGGCGACGAUCAGUAGCUGGUCUGAGAGGAUGAUCAGCCACACUGGAACUGAGACACGGUCCAGACUCCUACGGGAGGCAGCAGUGGGGAAUUUUGGACAAUGGGCGCAAGCCUGAUCCAGCCAUUCCGCGUGAGUGAAGAA